RNAcentral lists this long non-coding RNA (305 nucleotides) under Elaeis guineensis (African oil palm). RNAcentral's name for it is "long non-coding RNA (EGUI_LNC056410)". Lineage: Eukaryota; Viridiplantae; Streptophyta; Magnoliopsida; Arecales; Arecaceae. The record is from RNAcentral.
GGUGAGACAAUGUCAAAAAUUUAUUUUUAUUUUGCUUUUUAUGUAUAUCAAUAUUUUUCACUCAUACCUAUACAAAAUAGAUUCUUUAUUGGUAUAGGUUGGAAGAAUAUUUUAAAACUACUCAGAAAUUUAUUCUAUUCUAGACUUAACUAUUUAUUGAAUUUCUUUAAUAAUUGAAUCUUUCGUAUUUCAAAAAUUCUCUAGAUCAUUAAUCAAUCAUUGAUUAAAUUACUUGAUUAACUUCAAUCAAGAUGAAAUCAGGUACAUAAAACUAAUUGUUACUAGACUUGAGGACUUAAUUAAUU